AGUAGCAAUACCGACUGAUGGCGACCGGCGCACGGGUGAGUAACGCGUAUGCAACCUGCCCUGUACAGGGGGAUAGCCCAUGGAAACGUGGAUUAAUAUCCCAUAGUAAUCAUGAUAGGCAUCUAUUUUGAUUUAAAUCUUCUGAGGUACAGGAUGGGCAUGCGUCCUAUUAGAUAGUUGGCGGGGUAACGGCCCACCAAGUCUUUGAUAGGUAGGGGUUCUGAGAGGAAGGUCCCCCACACUGGUACUGAGACACGGACCAGACUCCUACGGGAGGCAGCAGUGAGGAAUAUUGGUCAAUGGGCGAUAGCCUGAACCAGCCAAGUCGCGUGAGGGAAGACUGCCCUAUGGGUUGUAAACCUCUUUUGUAAGUGGAGAAUAAGCGUUACGUGUAACGCGAUGACUGUAACUUACGAAUAAGCAUCGGCUAACUCCGUGCCAGCAGCCGCGGUAAUACGGAGGAUGCGAGCGUUAUCCGGAUUUAUUGGGUUUAAAGGGUGCGUAGGCGGCACUAUAAGUUAGUGGUAAAAUAUCCGGGCUUCACCCGGACUCGCCAUUAAUACUGUAGAGCUCGAGUACAGACGAGGUAGGCGGAAUAAGUUAAGUAGCGGUGAAAUGCAUAGAUAUAACUUAGAACUCCGAUAGCGAAGGCAGCUUACCA
RNAcentral lists this ribosomal RNA (661 nucleotides) under uncultured Bacteroidales bacterium. RNAcentral describes it as "bacterial SSU rRNA". It matches the Rfam family "Bacterial small subunit ribosomal RNA", at positions 71 to 731 of the family's 1533-position model. Lineage: Bacteria; Pseudomonadati; Bacteroidota; Bacteroidia; Bacteroidales. The record is from RNAcentral.